GCAAAGCACUUGAAGCAGCGUAGCCUAGCUACUUCUGUAUCAGGAAACCUAUAAGCUGUUGAACUUUUCUCUUUAGAAAUUUGCCAUAACCAGCCCUAAAUCUUCAGAUGACAACACGGAAAUUUUCUUCCUGGGCUUAGCAAAGCCUGUGCACCCUUGAUGGUAUUUAGUAAUUGGUUAUAUAGUGGUGUGUUUUGUUUUAUUUUGGUCAGGCUUUGGGAAAAUCCCUAAGGAACCAGAGGAUUUUAACAUCACACUGCAGUAAUACUUUCUAAUAAUUAUUAUUGAUAGGGUUCACAGGAUGUGAGCACUGGGUUUCAUCAUGGCACUGCAAGAAUGAGUGUCCCUUCCCAGAUUCAACAGUGUACAUAUUGCAACAGAGAAAAAGAAGACAUAAUGUUUGCAACUUCCUUUAAGAAGUCUGUCAGAAAUCUAUGCUUGAUUGCUUUUUAAAUGUUUCUAUGAGAGAGUGAAAACUUGGUCCCCAGUACCUUGAACAAGACCUUAGUUGUGGGCAAACUCCCUAGUCUUCCCCACAUAACAGAAAACUGUGCUGGUUUGGUGCUCUGGACAACUCACCAGAGAAUCUACCUUCUGCAAAGAGCUGGAAGCAACAUGAGCAACUGAGAGAAACUUAGGCCAGCCUCUGUCCAGUUCAAACUGGUUGAGACCACCAAUUCUUCAAGUGCCUGAGAGAUGUCAGAGGGUCAAAAACUCCAACCUCAGAUUAUGCUAACACUGCCAUUUUUCUGUACACACGUCCUAUGUAAUGCCAUGAACUCUGGCUUCAUUUGUGCAGGAUGAGCCUGUUACUUCAUUUUUUCCCAGUGCCAAUUACAUUUCCCCAUACCUCAGACCACCAAAUUUCCCUAAACCAUAAAUAUCCCUAAGCCUAAUCUUCAGGGAGGCUUAUUUCAGAGCUAUUCUCCCACCUCCUCAC
Piliocolobus tephrosceles (Ugandan red Colobus) is the source of this 940-nucleotide long non-coding RNA. RefSeq lists it as uncharacterized. The record is from RefSeq and is a predicted model, not a curated record. The transcript is spliced from 3 exons. NCBI's taxonomy places the organism in Eukaryota, Metazoa, Chordata, Mammalia, Primates, Cercopithecidae.